UACAGUGGAUGGAUCACAGACGAGCUUCUACAACGAAUAGACUCCACCAGCAGGAUCUCUACUCCGAACUUCUUUCGGACUUCAUCAAUGAUCGAGCUUCUCCAACAGCGGGAUUUCUACAAUAAGAAGUCUCCAUCCGAGCUUCCACGAUAGUCGAUCUUCAUCCGAGCUUCUACAAUAAGCGGACUUCAUCCAAACUUCUACAAAAGU
Molecule: long non-coding RNA, 210 nt
Filed under: Elaeis guineensis (African oil palm)
Lineage: Eukaryota; Viridiplantae; Streptophyta; Magnoliopsida; Arecales; Arecaceae
Description: long non-coding RNA (EGUI_LNC079849)
Source: RNAcentral